Molecule: ribosomal RNA, 510 nt
Filed under: uncultured bacterium
Lineage: Bacteria
Description: partial 16S ribosomal RNA
Rfam family: Bacterial small subunit ribosomal RNA
Source: RNAcentral
GACGAACGCUGGCGGCGUGCUUAACACAUGCAAGUCGAACGAAGAGCGAUGGAAGCUUGCUUCUAUCAAUCUUAGCGGCGACCGGGUGAGUAACGCGUAAUCAACCUGCCCUUCAGAGGGGGACAACAGUUGGAAACGACUGCUAAUACCGCAUACGAUCUAAUCUCGGCAUCGAGGAUAGAUGAAAGGUGGCCUCUACAUGUAAGCUAUCACUGAAGGAGGGGAUUGCGUCUGAUUAGCUAGUUGGAGGGGUAACGGCCCACCAAGGCGAUGAUCAGUAGCCGGUCUGAGAGGAUGAACGGCCACAUUGGGACUGAGACACGGCCCAGACUCCUACGGGAGGCAGCAGUGGGGAAUCUUCCGCAAUGGACGAAAGUCUGACGGAGCAACGCCGCGUGAGUGAUGACGGCCUUCGGGUUGUAAAGCUCUGUUAAUCGGGACGAAAGGCCUUCUUGCGAAUAGUGAGAAGGAUUGACGGUACCGGAAUAGAAAGCCACGGCUAACUACGUG